CCCUCGUUAGUAUAGUGGUGAGUAUCCCCCUGCCUGUCACGCUGGAGACCGGGGUUCGAUUCCCCCGACGGGAGG
Molecule: transfer RNA, 75 nt
Filed under: Alosa alosa (allis shad)
Lineage: Eukaryota; Metazoa; Chordata; Actinopteri; Clupeiformes; Clupeidae
Description: tRNA-Asp
Source: RNAcentral